GAUGAACGCUGGCGGCGUGCUUAACACAUGCAAGUCGAACGGAAAGGCCAGUGCUUGCACUGGUACUCGAGUGGCGAACGGGUGAGUAACACGUGGGUGAUCUGCCCUGCACUUCGGGAUAAGCCUGGGAAACUGGGUCUAAUACCGGAUAGGACAAUGGUUUGGAUGCCGUUGUGGAAAGUUUUUUCGGUGUGGGAUGAGCUCGCGGCCUAUCAGCUUGUUGGUGGGGUAAUGGCCUACCAAGGCGUCGACGGGUAGCCGGCCUGAGAGGGGGUACAGCCACAGUGGGACUGAGAUACGGCCCAGACUCCUACGGGAGGCAGCAGUGGGGAAUAUUGCACAAUGGGCGCAAGCCUGAUGCAGCGACGCCGCGUGGGGGAUGACGGCCUUCGGGUUGUAAACUCCUUUCGCUAGGGACGAAGCGUAUUUGUGACGGUACCUGGAGAAGAAGCACCGGCUAACUACGUG
RNAcentral lists this ribosomal RNA (468 nucleotides) under uncultured bacterium. RNAcentral describes it as "partial 16S ribosomal RNA". It matches the Rfam family "Bacterial small subunit ribosomal RNA", at positions 28 to 507 of the family's 1533-position model. The record is from RNAcentral.